RNAcentral lists this ribosomal RNA (693 nucleotides) under uncultured bacterium. RNAcentral describes it as "bacterial SSU rRNA". It matches the Rfam family "Bacterial small subunit ribosomal RNA", at positions 372 to 1072 of the family's 1533-position model. The record is from RNAcentral.
UGGGCGCAAGCCUGAUGCAGCGACGCCGCGUGCGGGAUGACGGCCUUCGGGUUGUAAACCGCUUUUGACUGGGAGCAAGCCCUUCGGGGUGAGUGUACCUUUCGAAUAAGCACCGGCUAACUACGUGCCAGCAGCCGCGGUAAUACGUAGGGUGCAAGCGUUAUCCGGAAUUAUUGGGCGUAAAGGGCUCGUAGGCGGUUCGUCGCGUCCGGUGUGAAAGUCCAUCGCUUAACGGUGGAUCCGCGCCGGGUACGGGCGGGCUUGAGUGCGGUAGGGGAGACUGGAAUUCCCGGUGUAACGGUGGAAUGUGUAGAUAUCGGGAAGAACACCAAUGGCGAAGGCAGGUCUCUGGGCCGUCACUGACGCUGAGGAGCGAAAGCGUGGGGAGCGAACAGGAUUAGAUACCCUGGUAGUCCACGCCGUAAACGGUGGAUGCUGGAUGUGGGGACCAUUCCACGGUCUCCGUGUCGGAGCCAACGCGUUAAGCAUCCCGCCUGGGGAGUACGGCCGCAAGGCUAAAACUCAAAGAAAUUGACGGGGGCCCGCACAAGCGGCGGAGCAUGCGGAUUAAUUCGAUGCAACGCGAAGAACCUUACCUGGGCUUGACAUGUUCCCGACAGCCCCAGAGAUGGGGCCUCCCUUCGGGGCGGGUUCACAGGUGGUGCAUGGUCGUCGUCAGCUCGUGUCGUGAGA